GCCUGGCCCUAAAUCUUGAUGCUCGAUCUUACCGGAGCAUCCGCCCGAGAACUACGAGCGCAAACGCUUAAAACUCUAAGGACUUGGCGGUGUCCCAAACCCACCUAGAGGAGCCUGUUCUACAAUCGAUGAUCCACGUUACACCUUACCAUUUCUUGCCAAGUCAGCCUAUAUACCGCCGUCUCCAGCCCACCCAACCUGAAGGACCAACAGUGGACGCAAUAGCCCUAAUACGCUAAUAAGACAGGUCAAGGUAUAGCCUAUGGAAUGGGAGUAAUGGGCUACAUUUUCUAGAAUAGAACAUCACGGCAAAGGGAUAUGAAACUAUCCUUUGAAGGCGGAUUUAGCAGUAAAGAGGGAGAAUCGAGCCCUCUUUAAGCCGGCUCUGGGGCACGU
This 396-nucleotide ribosomal RNA is filed under the name Hypsipetes madagascariensis. RNAcentral describes it as "partial 12S ribosomal RNA". It matches the Rfam family "Bacterial small subunit ribosomal RNA", at positions 794 to 1384 of the family's 1533-position model. Lineage: Eukaryota; Metazoa; Chordata; Aves; Passeriformes; Pycnonotidae. The record is from RNAcentral.